CGUUACCUACGGGGGGCAGCAGUGGGGAAUAUUGCACAAUGGGGGGAACCCUGAUGCAGCGACGCCGCGUGGGUGAAGGAGCGUUUCGGCGCGUAAAGCCCUAUCGGCAGGGAAGAAGGAGGACGGUACCUGACUAAGAAGCCCCGGCUAACUACGUGCCAGCAGCCGCGGUAAUACGUAGGGGGCAAGCGUUAUCCGGAUUUACUGGGCGUAAAGGGGGCGCAGACGGCAGCGCAAGCCAGGAGUGAAAGCCCGGUGCCCAACCCCGGGACUGCUCUUGGCACUGCGCGGCU
Molecule: ribosomal RNA, 293 nt
Filed under: uncultured bacterium
Lineage: Bacteria
Description: partial 16S ribosomal RNA
Rfam family: Bacterial small subunit ribosomal RNA
Source: RNAcentral